AGUGGGGAAUAUUGGACAAUGGGGGCAACCCUGAUCCAGCGAUGCCGCGUGUGCGAAGAAGGCCUGCGGGUUGUAAAGCACUUUGAGUGGGGAAGAAAGGCUAAAGUCGAAUAGGCUUUAGAGUUGACGUUACCCACAGAACAAGCACCGGCUAACUCUGUGCCAGCAGCCGCGGUAAUACAGAGGGUGCAAGCGUUAAUCGGAAUUACUGGGCGUAAAGGGCGCGUAGGCGGAUUGAUAAGUUAGGUGUGAAAUCCCUGGGCUUAACCUGGGAACGGCAUUUAAUACUGUCAGUCUAGAGUAGAGUAGAGGGAAGUGGAAUUUCCGGUGUAGCGGUGAAAUGCGUAGAGAUCGGAAAGAACACCAGUGGCGAAGGCGGCUUCCUGGACUCAUACUGACGCUGAGGCGCGAAAGCGUGGGGAGCAAA
Molecule: ribosomal RNA, 427 nt
Filed under: uncultured Aquicella sp.
Lineage: Bacteria; Pseudomonadati; Pseudomonadota; Gammaproteobacteria; Legionellales; Coxiellaceae
Description: bacterial SSU rRNA
Rfam family: Bacterial small subunit ribosomal RNA
Source: RNAcentral